This 235-nucleotide unclassified non-coding RNA is filed under the name Hevea brasiliensis (rubber tree). Lineage: Eukaryota; Viridiplantae; Streptophyta; Magnoliopsida; Malpighiales; Euphorbiaceae. The record is from RNAcentral.
GACGUUUACUUUUGCUGGGGUAUUGCUCACUGUCUUUGGAAUUUUCCUCCUUUUCAGCUUGGACUCGCAUUGAAGCCGAUUUUCGAAGCUCCGAAGGAUACCGUAGUCUUGCAGCAGCUGCUGAACUUGGAGUGGUAGGCCUACUGCCAUUUGGGGUUGUUGGCCUACUUGACAUAGAGCCAGAGCGCAAUAAUGGAAAACGAUGAGGUGAAACUGUGCGCUUCUCUAAUUCUUU